Molecule: non-coding RNA, 179 nt
Filed under: Tepidibacter hydrothermalis
Lineage: Bacteria; Bacillati; Bacillota; Clostridia; Peptostreptococcales; Peptostreptococcaceae
Description: Tepidibacter sp. SWIR-1 6S RNA
Rfam family: 6S / SsrS RNA
About the family: E. coli 6S RNA was the first non coding RNA to be sequenced, but its function was unknown until recently.
Source: RNAcentral
GAAUUUCUGAGGUGUACGUUAUAGCUUAUAUUUUCAGCCUACAUGAAGUAUACGGGAGUUCGUGUUUAUCUGUGGAUAACAAGCCUUGAUUGAAAAAGGAAGUUAGAGACAAAUGACAGAGCACCCACCUGGGUGAAGCUCGGGUAUGAAUUUAAUAGGCAGACGGCGCAAUGGAUUAA